RNAcentral lists this ribosomal RNA (253 nucleotides) under uncultured bacterium. RNAcentral's name for it is "partial 16S ribosomal RNA". It matches the Rfam family "Bacterial small subunit ribosomal RNA", at positions 524 to 776 of the family's 1533-position model. The record is from RNAcentral.
UACAGAGGGCCCAAGCGUUGUUCGGAUUCACUGGGCGUAAAGGGUGCGUAGGUGGUUAGGUAAGUCGGGUGUGAAAUCUCCAAGCUCAACUUGGAAACUGCAUUGGAAACUAUCUUGCUAGAGGGUUUGAGGGGGGACUGGAAUACUUGGUGUAGCAGUGAAAUGCGUAGAUAUCAAGUGGAACACCAGUGGCGAAGGCGAGUCCCUGGAAAAUACCUGACACUGAGGCACGAAAGCUAGGGGAGCAAACAGG